RNAcentral lists this ribosomal RNA (481 nucleotides) under uncultured bacterium. Its description in RNAcentral is "partial 16S ribosomal RNA". It matches the Rfam family "Bacterial small subunit ribosomal RNA", at positions 30 to 507 of the family's 1533-position model. The record is from RNAcentral.
UUGAACGCUGGCGGCAUGCCUUACACCUGCAAAUCGCACGGUAACGGGCCUUCGGGUGCCGACGAGUGGCGAACGGGUGAGUAAUACAUCGGAACGUGCCCGAUCGUGGGGGAUAACGAGGCGAAAGCUUUGCUAAUACCGCAUACGAUCUACGGAUGAAAGCAGGGGACCGCAAGGCCUUGCGCGGACGGAGCGGCCGAUGGCAGAUUAGGUAGUUGGUGGGAUAAAAGCUUACCAAGCCGACGAUCUGUAGCUGGUCUGAGAGGAUGAUCAGCCACACUGGGACUGAGACACGGCCCAGACUCCUACGGGAGGCAGCAGUGGGGAAUUUUGGACAAUGGGCGCAAGCCUGAUCCAGCCAUGCCGCGUGCAGGAUGAAGGCCUUCGGGUUGUAAACUGAUUUUGUACGGAACGAAAAGCCUUCUUUUAAUACAGGAGGGUCAUGACGGUACCGUAAGAAUAAGCACCGGCUAACUACGUG